ACACAAGGACAAAAAAUCAUCUCUAAAGAGAUGUCCUGUGAAAUGGAGACAGGAAACAGAACUAGUUCAUUACCAAUGAUCAUUUUGCGUAUAAUUGUCACCGGCGCAAAUCAUGACAAUCUAAAGAAACAGAUUUAACAUUCAAAUCUUAAAAUAAUAUGAUUGCAAUCCCAUGAAAUCAACCAUGCCUAUAUCAUUGAUUGU
RNAcentral lists this unclassified non-coding RNA (204 nucleotides) under Hevea brasiliensis (rubber tree). Lineage: Eukaryota; Viridiplantae; Streptophyta; Magnoliopsida; Malpighiales; Euphorbiaceae. The record is from RNAcentral.